This 440-nucleotide ribosomal RNA is filed under the name uncultured bacterium. RNAcentral describes it as "partial 16S ribosomal RNA". It matches the Rfam family "Bacterial small subunit ribosomal RNA", at positions 339 to 795 of the family's 1533-position model. The record is from RNAcentral.
CUACGGGUUGCAGCAGUCGAGAAUCUUCCGCAAUGGGCGAAAGCCUGACGGAGCAAUGCCGCGUGCAGGAUGAAGGCCUUCGGGUCGUAAACUGCUGUCACCGGGGAUGAAUAAUGACAGUACCCGGGGAGGAAGUCACGGCUAACUACGUGCCAGCAGCCGCGGUGAUACGUAGGUGGCAAGCGUUGUUCGGAUUUAUUGGGCGUAAAGGGUUCGUAGGAUGUUGAUUAAGAUUGGUGUGAAAUCCCAAGGCUCAACCUUGGAACUGCAUUGAUUACUGAUGAACUAGAGUGUCGUAGAGGAAAGCGGAAUUCCAGGUGUAGCGGUGGAAUGCGUAGAUAUCUGGAAGAACACCGACAGCGAAGGCAGCUUUCUGGGCGAUAACUGACUCUGAGGAACGAAAGCAUGGGGAGCAAACAGGAUUAGAUACCCCGGUAGUC